GGCAGGUUACCCGAGUGGCCAAAGGGAACUGACUGUAAAUCAGUCGCGCAAGCUUCGGGGGUUCGAAUCCCUCACCUGCCACCA
Molecule: transfer RNA, 84 nt
Filed under: Buchananella hordeovulneris
Lineage: Bacteria; Bacillati; Actinomycetota; Actinomycetes; Actinomycetales; Actinomycetaceae
Also listed under: 1 other name
Description: tRNA-Tyr
Rfam family: tRNA
About the family: Transfer RNA (tRNA) molecules are approximately 80 nucleotides in length. Their secondary structure includes four short double-helical elements and three loops (D, anti-codon, and T loops).
Source: RNAcentral